UGAAAGUUCCUAUAAACCUCUCAACUGCC
Molecule: small RNA, 29 nt
Filed under: Bombyx mori (domestic silkworm)
Lineage: Eukaryota; Metazoa; Arthropoda; Insecta; Lepidoptera; Bombycidae
Description: ovarian small RNA-30514
Source: RNAcentral